Molecule: ribosomal RNA, 452 nt
Filed under: uncultured organism
Description: partial 16S ribosomal RNA
Rfam family: Bacterial small subunit ribosomal RNA
Source: RNAcentral
UACACUCCUGCGGGAGGCAGCAGUGGGGAAUAUUGGACAAUGGGCGCAAGCCUGAUCCAGCCAUGCCGCGUGAGUGAUGAAGGCCCUAGGGUUGUAAAGCUCUUUCACCGGUGAAGAUAAUGACGGUAACCGGAGAAGAAGCCCCGGCUAACUUCGUGCCAGCAGCCGCGGUAAUACGAAGGGGGCUAGCGUUGUUCGGAUUUACUGGGCGUAAAGCGCACGUAGGCGGACUAUUAAGUCAGGGGUGAAAUCCCGGGGCUCAACCCCGGAACUGCCUUUGAUACUGGUAGUCUUGAGUUCGAGAGAGGUGAGUGGAAUUCCGAGUGUAUAGGUGAAAUUCGUAGAUAUUCGGAGGAACACCAGUGGCGAAGGCGGCUCACUGGCUCGAUACUGACGCUGAGGUGCGAAAGCGUGGGGAGCAAACAGGAUUAGAAACCCUAGUAGUCCCAUGA